Molecule: ribosomal RNA, 433 nt
Filed under: uncultured bacterium
Lineage: Bacteria
Description: partial 16S ribosomal RNA
Rfam family: Bacterial small subunit ribosomal RNA
Source: RNAcentral
AACGAACGCUGGCGGCAUGCCUAACACAUGCAAGUCGAACGAGACCUUCGGGUCUAGUGGCGCACGGGUGCGUAACGCGUGGGAACCUGCCCUUAGGUUCGGAAUAACUCCCCGAAAGGGGUGCUAAUACCGGAUAAUGUCUUCGGACCAAAGAUUUAUCGCCUUUGGAUGGGCCCGCGUUGGAUUAGCUAGUUGGUAGGGUAAAAGCCUACCAAGGCGACGAUCCAUAGCUGGUCUGAGAGGAUGAUCAGCCACACUGGGACUGAGACACGGCCCAGACUCCUACGGGAGGCAGCAGUGUGGUAUAUUGGACGAUGGGCGAAGGCCUGAUCCCGCAAUGCCGCGUGAGUGAUGAAGGCCUUAGGGUUGUAAAGCUCUUUUACCCGGGAUGAUAAUGACAGUACCGGGAGAAUAAGCUCCGGCUAACUCCGUG